AGUGAACGCUGGCGGUAGGCCUAACACAUGCAAGUCGAACGGCAGCACAGUAAGAGCUUGCUCUUACGGGUGGCGAGUGGCGGACGGGUGAGGAAUACAUCGGAAUCUACUUUUUCGUGGGUGAUAACGUAGGGAAACUUACGCUAAUACCGCAUACGACCUACGGGUGAAAGCAGGGGAUCUUCGGACCUUACGCGAUUGAAUGAGCCGAUGUCGGAUUAGCUAGUUGGCGGGGUAAAGGCCCACCAAGGCGACGAUCCGUAGCUGGUCUGAGAGGAUGAUCAGCCACACUGGAACUGAGACACGGUCCAGACUCCUACGGGAGGCAGCAGUGGGGAAUAUUGGACAAUGGGCGCAAGCCUGAUCCAGCCAUACCGCGUGGGUGAAGAAGGCCUUCGGGUUGUAAAGCCCUUUUGUUGGGAAAGAAAAGCAGCAGGUUAAUACCCCGCUGUUCUGACGGUACCCAAAGAAUAAGCACCGGCUAACUUCGUG
RNAcentral lists this ribosomal RNA (492 nucleotides) under uncultured bacterium. RNAcentral's name for it is "partial 16S ribosomal RNA". It matches the Rfam family "Bacterial small subunit ribosomal RNA", at positions 29 to 507 of the family's 1533-position model. The record is from RNAcentral.